GUGGAUUAUAGUGCCAUGCAUUCUUUAUUUGAGAAGCUGUCGUGCGCCACACAGUGUUUUUUUUUUUGGGACCGGUCCAGCCUGACUGUACUGUGAGCAGAAUUCCUCAGGAGUCCUAAAGGCCCAGCAAGGGUGGUGGGGGGAUGAGGCACUCAGAAGAAAGAGGAGCAUUUCACCUUAAUGCACAUCUAUCAUGACUUCCCAAAAUGGUGGCAAUGACAAGCAUGGCCAAGGAGAGCAAAUGCAGCACGACUAAGGAGAUGAGCAGGAAGACCAUGG
Molecule: long non-coding RNA, 279 nt
Organism: Oreochromis niloticus (Nile tilapia)
Lineage: Eukaryota; Metazoa; Chordata; Actinopteri; Cichliformes; Cichlidae
Exons: 3
Source: RefSeq, a predicted model, not a curated record